Molecule: ribosomal RNA, 328 nt
Filed under: uncultured eukaryote
Lineage: Eukaryota
Description: partial 18S ribosomal RNA
Rfam family: Eukaryotic small subunit ribosomal RNA
Source: RNAcentral
CCCUUAGAUGUCCUGGGCCGCACGCGCGUUACACUGAUGCAUUCAACGAGCUUAUAACCUUGGCCGAGAGGCCUGGGCAAUCUUGUUAACGUGCAUCGUGAUAGGGAUAGAUUAUUGAAAUUAUUAAUCUUGAACGAGGAAUUCCUAGUAAACGCAGAUCAUCAAUCUGCAUUGAUUACGUCCCUGCCCUUUGUACACACCGCCCGUCGCACCUACCGAUUGGAUGGUCCGGUGAAGCCUCGGGAUUGUGGUUCUUGCCGCUUUAUUGUGGCGUGACCGCGAGAACUUGUCUAAACCUUAUCAUCUAGAGGAAGGUGAAGUCGUAACU